RNAcentral lists this ribosomal RNA (253 nucleotides) under uncultured Pelobacter sp. Its description in RNAcentral is "partial 16S ribosomal RNA". It matches the Rfam family "Bacterial small subunit ribosomal RNA", at positions 524 to 776 of the family's 1533-position model. Lineage: Bacteria; Pseudomonadati; Thermodesulfobacteriota; Desulfuromonadia; Desulfuromonadales; Desulfuromonadaceae. The record is from RNAcentral.
UACGAAGGUGGCGAGCGUUGUUCGGAAUUAUUGGGCGUAAAGCGCGUGUAGGCGGCCUGUUAAGUCUGGUGUGAAAUCCCGGGGCUCAACCCCGGAAGUGCAUUGGAUACUGGCAGACUUGAGUAUGGGAGAGGAAGGUGGAAUUCCGAGUGUAGGAGUGAAAUCCGUAGAUAUUCGGAGGAACACCAGUGGCGAAGGCGGCCUUCUGGACCAAUACUGACGCUGAGACGCGAAAGCGUGGGGAGCAAACAGG